GACGAACGCUGGCGGCGUGCUUAACACAUGCAAGUCGAACGAAGAGCGAUGGAAGCUUGCUUCUAUCAAUCUUAGUGGCGAACGGGUGAGUAACGCGUAAUCAACCUGCCCUUCAGAGGGGGACAACAGUUGGAAACGACUGCUAAUACCGCAUACGAUCUAAUCUCGGCAUCGAGGAUAGAUGAAAGGUGGCCUCUACAUGUAAGCUAUCACUGAAGGAGGGGAUUGCGUCUGAUUAGCUAGUUGGAGGGGUAACGGCCCACCAAGGCGAUGAUCAGUAGCAGGUCUGAGAGGAUGAGCGGCCACAUUGGGACUGAGACACGGCCCAGACUCCUACGGGAGGCAGCAGUGGGGAAUCUUCCGCAAUGGACGAAAGUCUGACGGAGCAACGCCGCGUGAGUGAUGACGGCCUUCGGGUUGUAAAGCUCUGUUAAUCGGGACGAAAGGCCUUCUUGCGAACAGUUAGAAGGAUUGACGGUACCGGAAUAGAAAGCCACGGCUAACUACGUG
RNAcentral lists this ribosomal RNA (510 nucleotides) under uncultured bacterium. Its description in RNAcentral is "partial 16S ribosomal RNA". It matches the Rfam family "Bacterial small subunit ribosomal RNA", at positions 28 to 507 of the family's 1533-position model. The record is from RNAcentral.